Molecule: long non-coding RNA, 844 nt
Filed under: Olea europaea subsp. europaea
Lineage: Eukaryota; Viridiplantae; Streptophyta; Magnoliopsida; Lamiales; Oleaceae
Source: RNAcentral
UAUUUUUUUUGAUAGUUUAAUUAAUAAACUAAAACACAAAAACUUUAUCUUAUAUUUUUCUGACGAUAAUCACAAAAGCUAUUCUAAAUUAUCCAGCAUAAGUUCGUAAUAAUAGCCUUUGUAAUAAAAAAUUAUAAAAUUAAUUCCAUUUAUACAUAAAAAACAAACGAAAAUAACUUUAUACUAUAUUUCAUCACACUUGUCCUACAAAAAUACAUAUUUUACAGUAGAUAUUUUAUAAUAGACAAGUACAUCCAUCAACAGUGACAACAUUUCUUUUAUAGCACAUACAGAUACAUGCAUUAGAGCUUGAAUCCUUAUCCAUCUAAUUCUCCUUUUAACACGUUAUCUAAUUGAAAAGUAGAACUCAUCCCACUUAAACAUUUUUCUAUAAAUAACAUCAAUGCCCAAGCUCCUUCUUCCACCUUCAAACAUCUAAUAGAACAAACGCAUAUUCCAGUUCCCAACUACAGAAAAACUAAAAAACCCAUAUUCCCAUUUCCCAGCGAGUGGGUGAAGCAAUCUAGCUUGCGCCUACCUCACCUCACACCGAAGUGCGCACCAGCUAACCUAAUGGAUCCAGGCAAGCCUGAUGAUGAACAAGUUGAGCUAUUCGAGUCGACCCAUUUAACACUCUUAACACUCUCUUAAGCCGCCCCUUCCAUCCAUCGUCCUUGACUCCACCAAAAAGAUUUUCCCCUUCUAUUCUUGUUUUUGGUAGCUUGUAUACGAGAGUUGUUGGAAGUUGGGGUAGGAUUUUUUUAUUUAUUAUUUUUUAUUAUUUUUUUUUGUAGGAAUGAAUAUGGCAACUGGUUGGAUUUAAAGAUUAGGACAAACAAGGGAG